This 372-nucleotide ribosomal RNA is filed under the name uncultured bacterium. RNAcentral describes it as "bacterial SSU rRNA". It matches the Rfam family "Bacterial small subunit ribosomal RNA", at positions 524 to 898 of the family's 1533-position model. The record is from RNAcentral.
UACGGAGGGUGCAAGCGUUAUCCGGAUUUAUUGGGUUUAAAGGGUGCGUAGGCGGUUAUAUAAGUCAGCGGUGAAAUUUUUCGGCUCAACCGGAAACAUGCCGUUGAUACUGUAUAGCUUGAAUAUGGUUGCUGUGAGUGGAAUGUGUAGUGUAGCGGUGAAAUGCUUAGAUAUUACACAGAAUAUCGAUUGCGAAGGCAACUCACAAAGCCAUUAUUGACGCUGAGGCACGAAAGUGUGGGGAUCAAACAGGAUUAGAUACCCUGGUAGUCCACACUGUAAACGAUGAUAACUAGCUGUCGGCGAUAGACCGUCGGUGGCCAAGCGAAAGCGAUAAGUUAUCCACCUGGGGAGUACGACCGCAAGGUUGAA